This 114-nucleotide ribosomal RNA is filed under the name Geranium phaeum. Lineage: Eukaryota; Viridiplantae; Streptophyta; Magnoliopsida; Geraniales; Geraniaceae. The record is from RNAcentral.
UAUUUGGUGUCCUAGGCGUAGAGGAAGCACACCAAUCCAUACCGAAUUUGGUGGUUAAACUCUACUGCGGUAACGAUACGGAAGUCCUGCGGAAAAAUAGCUCAACGCCAGGAU